This 2930-nucleotide long non-coding RNA is filed under the name Homo sapiens (human). RNAcentral describes it as "PREDICTED lncRNA (TCONS_00150377)". The record is from RNAcentral. Lineage: Eukaryota; Metazoa; Chordata; Mammalia; Primates; Hominidae.
AGGAAACACAUUUCUACUGUUUAAGCCACUUGGCUGGGAGUACUUGGUUAUGGCAGCCUGAGCAGACUAAACCAGCACCUCAAAGAGUUGUUAUAGGGUAUGCUUAGUGGUAACUGGUUCCUAAAGGCCUUGCUUUCUAAGGCUGACUCCUCACCCUGCAAGGAUGCAUUCUCCCCACUGGCAGAUAUGCAACCAGGAACAGGCAUUAACACGCUUUAUUCCCAGAGUUUUAAUAUUUUCCAUUGCAUAAAAUAUUUGUUCAUGAAAAUGACAAAAUUGCUAUUAGAUUCUAUCACCACAUCUCUGUUGAUUUUACUUUCUGCAAACACAUACAAGUAAUGUAGGCAUACAGUUAAAAAUGAAACCUUAUCCUGUAGUUCCAGCUACUAGGGAGGCUGAAGCAAGAGAAUGGCAUGAACCUGGGAGGCGGAGCUUGUCGUGAGCCCAGAUCAGGCCACUACACUCCAGCCGGGGCAACAGAGCGCAACUCCGUCUCAAAACAAACAAACAAAACAAAACAAAAAAAACUUAUAGACAAGUACAAAAUGAGAAGAAAAAGUCCCUUUCCCUUCAUGCCUCUACUUCCUGCUGUAUUCUCAAAGGUAAGCACUGAUUACAGUUUACUUAUGGAUCUUUCCAGGAAAAUAUUUUAUGCAUUUAUCAGAAAAUGUAAGUAUAUGCAUCCUUUAAAAUUCUGCAUAAAUCAAACUCUGCAGGGUACUAUCUUCCCAUCCUCAUUUGAUAUUUUGUAGAUCUUUUCCUAUUGGCUGUACAGAUCACCUCAUUCUGUCUCCUGGGUCAUACAAUAUAGCUCACAUAAUUCUAAGUCUGAAGGUUGGUCCAAAUGGUUCCAAGAAUGCAGGUACCAAAAAGUAGUCUCUUGAAGAGGCCAUCAGAGACCUGGCUGUUUGUAUCUUCCUCCUCUGCCAUCCACAGUGUCAUCUUCACCCAAGGUGGCUGGAGAAGCUGUUAGGAAUAUGUGGUUUUUUAAAAAUUACAUUCAUAGGAAAAGGGGAGGGAAGAGAAGAAGAAAACCUCUCCCCCUAAGCUCAUGGCUCUUUUUAGUCAGGCUGAGCCAACUAAAGUCAUGUACUUCCCUUAGAUAGGUAACUGUUGCCAGGAAAAUGCCCUGUGUGGAUUGGCCUGGACUAAGCAGGAUCCUCCUCUAAAGAGAGAGAUGAGAUGAAUGCCUGACCCAAGUCUGGGAUCUUGGGUGGGAAGCGUGUGGAUAGUAGGUCAGAGGUCAGCAGUGUCUGUGGUGUAGGAUGUAAUCCCAUCUCCACAGAGCUGCAUACAAGUGUGUUUAAGUGUGUGCAAGUGAUUAACUUUGAUUAGUAGUUUCAACUCUUUACAAUGAACAUAUUUAUCUUUUUUAAAAAAUAAAGCCAUUUUAAAAGAUCUUGCCAUAAAACAAUCAUUCCUUAAGUCACCACUUAGGAUAGACCUAGAAUAUUUGUCCUUUCUCAAGAGCACCAGAGAGUUUUCUGGUAAUCCACGCAAUAAACAGUUAUAAAAGGUAAUUGUUGAGAUCAGGGGAAGAUGGCAGAUAGGAGGCAGUGCUAAUGUGUAGCUCCCACAUGGAUGGACAAAACACCAUGUGGAGACUCACACUGUGACCCUGUUGUGCUCCAAGAACUAUCAUAGGAACAUACUGGGAAAACCAAAAGAAUUCACGGAUCCUUUGAAAGAAGACGCACACCACUGUAAAUUCUGUGGAACAGGAGAAAAACUGUCUUGGAGGAAGGCAUCCUUCUAUUCUACUGAUCAGAAAGCUGGACAAAGUCCCACUGCCAGGCUACACAGUUGGUGCCAUUUGCGGAGGCCCACCCGCAGCGGUCACGUGAAGGACCGAGCGCCGCGCGCCCAGGCGGGGCCUCCGGCCUGCACGAGGAGGGCAGAGUCCGUUGCGGCUGCCGCCCCGACGCCCGCGCAUCCCCGCUCGCCGCGCCCGCCGCCGCGAUGUCCGGGGCCGGCCUAGCCGCGGUGGUGAGCUGCCUGCGCCCGCAGCCCGGCGAGGAGCCGCAGACCCAUGAGACGUUACUAUUUUUAUAACCACUAGACAACGCAGGUUGCCGCAUACUUCUUUAUUUGUGUAGACCUCGCUCUUGCCCUGUUUGAAGAGCCUGAGUUGCUUCCCCUGCCUUUCUUGGCCACCUCAAUAGCAGAAGUACUCUGCCUGACUGCAUACUUUGGCAGACUGGUACAUUUUGCAAAAGUCACUCCUCAAAUGGUUUUCUGGAAGGAUACAAAAGACAUCUGCACCAUGGUAACCACAGUGGCGAGUGUUCAUUGUAGUACCUGUAAGAGUUUAUGACCGAAGGCAGGAGCCAUGAAGAAAAAAGACUCAAUAGAUUUGCUUUUGAUGAAACAACAACACUUCCAUACAGUGAACGCCAUAAGCACAACUGCAAGCAAACCGCAAACUGAAGAACAAAUAGGGCAAAAUGUGGCAGUGCAGACAUUUCAGCAUAUCAAGAGCACUUCCAAAUUACAGGAAAAAAAAGAUAUCUCAAUAGAUAAUUUUGCUGAAGAUAAGUGAAGGCAACUCAUAAGGAAAAAAUAUGUAAAAUGGCCGAUAGGAAAGAUGUUUAACGUCACUAAUUAAAAAUUAUAGAAUAAAACGACAAUAAAAUACCAUGUGUUUGCCUAUAAAACAAUCUUAGCAAGAUUGAAAACAAACUUUUUGUAAUUUCAAUUUUUAGUUUAGAUUCAGGUGGUACAUGUGCAGGUUUGUUACAUGGGUAUAUUUCGUGAUGGUGAGGUUUGGGGUACAACUGAUCCCAUCACUCAGGUAGUGAGCCUAGAAUCCAGCAGGUAGUUUUUCAACCCUUCCCCUCCUCUGUCCCUUCCCCUCAGGAAUCCCCAGUGUCUACUGUUGCCAUCUUUGUGUCCAUGAGUACCCAGUGUUUAGCUCCUACUUAUAAGUGACA